GAAGGUGUGCUGUGAGGCAUGCUGGAGGUAUCAGAAGUGCGAAUGCUGACAUAAGUAACGAUAAAGCGGGUGAAAAGCCCGCUCGCCGGAAGACCAAGGGUUCCUGUCCAACGUUAAUCGGGGCAGGGUGAGUCGACCCCUAAGGCGAGGCCGAAAGGCGUAGUCGAUGGGAAACAGGUUAAUAUUCCUGUACUUGGUGUUACUGCGAAGGGGGGACGGAGAAGGCUAUGUUGGCCGGGCGACGGUUGUCCCGGUUUAAGCGUGUAGGCUGGUUUUCCAGGCAAAUCCGGAAAAUCAAGGCUGAGGCGUGAUGACGAGGCACUACGGUGCUGAAGCAACAAAUGCCCUGCUUCCAGGAAAAGCCUCUAAGCAUCAGGUAACAUCAAAUCGUACCCCAAACCGACACAGGUGGUCAGGUAGAGAAUACCAAGGCGCUUGAGAGAACUCGGGUGAAGGAACUAGGCAAAAUGGUGCCGUAACUUCGGGAGAAGGCACGCUGAUAUGUAGGUGAAGUCCCUCGCGGAUGGAGCUGAAAUCAGUCGAAGAUACCAGCUGGCUGCAACUGUUUAUUAAAAACACAGCACUGUGCAAACACGAAAGUGGACGUAUACGGUGUGACGCCUGCCCGGUGCCGGAAGGUUAAUUGAUGGGGUUAGCGCAAGCGAAGCUCUUGAUCGAAGCCCCGGUAAACGGCGGCCGUAACUAUAACGGUCCUAAGGUAGCGAAAUUCCUUGUCGGGUAAGUUCCGACCUGCACGAAUGGCGUAAUGAUGGCCAGGCUGUCUCCACCCGAGACUCAGUGAAAUUGAACUCGCUGUGAAGAUGCAGUGUACCCGCGGCAAGACGGAAAGACCCCGUGAACCUUUACUAUAGCUUGACACUGAACAUUGAGCCUUGAUGUGUAGGAUAGGUGGGAGGCUUUGAAGUGUGGACGCCAGUCUGCAUGGAGCCGACCUUGAAAUACCACCCUUUAAUGUUUGAUGUUCUAACGUGGACCCGUAAUCCGGGUUGCGGACAGUGUCUGGUGGGUAGUUUGACUGGGGCGGUCUCCUCCUAAAGAGUAACGGAGGAGCACGAAGGUUGGCUAAUCCUGGUCGGACAUCAGGAGGUUAGUGCAAUGGCAUAAGCCAGCUUGACUGCGAGCGUGACGGCGCGAGCAGGUGCGAAAGCAGGUCAUAGUGAUCCGGUGGUUCUGAAUGGAAGGGCCAUCGCUCAACGGAUAAAAGGUACUCCGGGGAUAACAGGCUGAUACCGCCCAAGAGUUCAUAUCGACGGCGGUGUUUGGCACCUCGAUGUCGGCUCAUCACAUCCUGGGGCUGAAGUAGGUCCCAAGGGUAUGGCUGUUCGCCAUUUAAAGUGGUACGCGAGCUGGGUUUAGAACGUCGUGAGACAGUUCGGUCCCUAUCUGCCGUGGGCGCUGGAGAACUGAGGGGGGCUGCUCCUAGUACGAGAGGACCGGAGUGGACGCAUCACUGGUGUU
Molecule: ribosomal RNA, 1479 nt
Filed under: Escherichia coli
Lineage: Bacteria; Pseudomonadati; Pseudomonadota; Gammaproteobacteria; Enterobacterales; Enterobacteriaceae
Description: partial 23S ribosomal RNA
Rfam family: Bacterial large subunit ribosomal RNA
Source: RNAcentral